UGGUAAUGGAAGUCAUGCUACCAACAGACAA
This 31-nucleotide non-coding RNA is filed under the name Mus musculus (house mouse). Lineage: Eukaryota; Metazoa; Chordata; Mammalia; Rodentia; Muridae. The record is from RNAcentral.